This 497-nucleotide ribosomal RNA is filed under the name uncultured bacterium. Its description in RNAcentral is "partial 16S ribosomal RNA". It matches the Rfam family "Bacterial small subunit ribosomal RNA", at positions 28 to 507 of the family's 1533-position model. The record is from RNAcentral.
GAUGAACGCUGGCGGCGUGCCUAAUACAUGCAAGUCGAGCGAACAGACGAGGAGCUUGCUCCUCUGACGUUAGCGGCGGACGGGUGAGUAACACGUGGAUAACCUACCUAUAAGACUGGGAUAACUUCGGGAAACCGGAGCUAAUACCGGAUAAAAUAUUGAACCGCAUGGUUCAAUAGUGAAAGACGGUUUUGCUGUCACUUCUAGAUGGAUCCGCGCCGCAUUAGCAAGUUGGUAAGGUAACGGCUAACCAAGCCGACGUUGCGUAGCCGACCUGAAAGGGUGAUCGGCCACACUGGAACUGAGACACGGUCCAGACUCCUACGGGAGGCAGCAGUAGGGAAUCUUCCGCAAUGGGCGAAAGCCUGACGGAGCAACGCCGCGUGAGUGAUGAAGGUCUUCGGAUCGUAAAACUCUGUUAUUAGGGAAGAACAAAUGUGUAAGUAACUAUGCACGUCUUGACGGUACCUAAUCAGAAAGCCACGGCUAACUACGUG